RNAcentral lists this ribosomal RNA (460 nucleotides) under uncultured bacterium. RNAcentral describes it as "partial 16S ribosomal RNA". It matches the Rfam family "Bacterial small subunit ribosomal RNA", at positions 338 to 795 of the family's 1533-position model. The record is from RNAcentral.
CCUACGGGGGGCUGCAGUGAGGAAUAUUGGUCAAUGGGCGCGAGCCUGAACCAGCCAAGUAGCGUGAAGGAUGACUGCCCUACGGGUUGUAAACUUCUUUUAUAAAGGAAUAAAGUGAGGCACGUGUGCCUUUUUGUAUGUACUUUAUGAAUAAGGAUCGGCUAACUCCGUGCCGGCAGCCGCGGUAAUACGGAGGAUCCGAGCGUUAUCCGGAUUUAUUGGGUUUAAAGGGAGCGUAGAUGGGUUGUUAAGUCAGUUGUGAAAGUUUGCGGCUCAACCGUAAAAUUGCGAUUGAUACUGGCAGCCUUGAGUACAGUUGAGGUAGGCGGAAUUCGUGGUGUAGCGGUGAAAUGCUUAGAUAUCACGAAGAACUCCGAUUGCGAAGGCAGCUUACUAAACUGCCACUGACAUUGAUGCUCGAAGGUGUGGGUAUCGAACAGGAUUAGAUACCCUUGUAGUC